UACAGAGGGGGCAAGCGUUAUUCGGUAUUAUUGGGCGUAAAGGGCGCGUAGGCGGCUUUUCAAGUGAGGGGUGAAAUCCCUCGGCUUAACCGAGGAACUGCCUGUCAGACUGGAAGGCUUGAGACCGGGAGAGGUGAGUGGAAUUCCCAGUGUAGCGGUGAAAUGCGUAGAUAUUGGGAGGAACACCAGUGGCGAAGGCGGCUCACUGGACCGGAACUGACGCUGAGGCGCGAAAGCGUGGGGAGCAAACAGG
RNAcentral lists this ribosomal RNA (253 nucleotides) under uncultured bacterium. Its description in RNAcentral is "partial 16S ribosomal RNA". It matches the Rfam family "Bacterial small subunit ribosomal RNA", at positions 524 to 776 of the family's 1533-position model. The record is from RNAcentral.